AGAGUUUGAUCCUGGCUCAGAUUGAACGCUGGCGGCAGGCCUAACACAUGCAAGUCGAGCGGUAGAGAGAAGCUUGCUUCUCUUGAGAGCGGCGGACGGGUGAGUAAUACCUAGGAAUCUGCCUGAUAGUGGGGGAUAACGUUCGGAAACGGACGCUAAUACCGCAUACGUCCUACGGGAGAAAGCAGGGGACCUUCGGGCCUUGCGCUAUCAGAUGAGCCUAGGUCGGAUUAGCUAGUUGGUGAGGUAAUGGCUCACCAAGGCUACGAUCCGUAACUGGUCUGAGAGGAUGAUCAGUCACACUGGAACUGAGACACGGUCCAGACUCCUACGGGAGGCAGCAGUGGGGAAUAUUGGACAAUGGGCGAAAGCCUGAUCCAGCCAUGCCGCGUGUGUGAAGAAGGUCUUCGGAUUGUAAAGCACUUUAAGUUGGGAGGAAGGGCAUUAACCUAAUACGUUAGUGCUUUGACGUUACCGACAGAAUAAGCACCGGCUAACUCUGUGCCAGCAGCCGCGGUAAUACG
This 524-nucleotide ribosomal RNA is filed under the name Pseudomonas sp. LaSQ6. Its description in RNAcentral is "bacterial SSU rRNA". It matches the Rfam family "Bacterial small subunit ribosomal RNA", at positions 8 to 527 of the family's 1533-position model. Lineage: Bacteria; Pseudomonadati; Pseudomonadota; Gammaproteobacteria; Pseudomonadales; Pseudomonadaceae. The record is from RNAcentral.